GGGUCAGUAGGUUGGUCGUGCCACCGGUACGUACUGGUCUCACUGAUUCCUCCUUCCUGAAGAACCGUAAUGCCAUUAAUUUGGUGUUGCGGGGAAACAGGACUGUUACUUUGAAAAAAUUAGAGUGUUUAAAGCAAGCUAACGCUUGAAUACAUUUGCAUGGAAUAAUGAAAUAGGACGAUCGAUCCUAUUUUGUUGGUUUCUAGGAUUGACGUA
This 216-nucleotide ribosomal RNA is filed under the name Glomeromycotina sp. Its description in RNAcentral is "partial small subunit ribosomal RNA". The stretch from base 40 to 216 matches the Rfam family "Eukaryotic small subunit ribosomal RNA", at positions 686 to 864 of the family's 1831-position model. Lineage: Eukaryota; Fungi; Glomeromycota. The record is from RNAcentral.